This 21-nucleotide non-coding RNA is filed under the name Caenorhabditis elegans. Lineage: Eukaryota; Metazoa; Nematoda; Chromadorea; Rhabditida; Rhabditidae. The record is from RNAcentral.
CAGAUUACUCUUAUCUCAAGU